CAACCCUUAGGGGAGGAAGCUGCCGAAGGUAAAACCAAUGACUAGGGUGAAGUCGUAACAAGGUAGCCGUAUCGGAAGGUGCGGCUGGAUCACCUCCUUUCUAAGGAA
This 108-nucleotide ribosomal RNA is filed under the name Fusibacter sp. A1. RNAcentral describes it as "partial 16S ribosomal RNA". It matches the Rfam family "Bacterial small subunit ribosomal RNA", at positions 1436 to 1533 of the family's 1533-position model. The record is from RNAcentral. Lineage: Bacteria; Bacillati; Bacillota; Clostridia; Eubacteriales; Fusibacteraceae.